RNAcentral lists this transfer RNA (72 nucleotides) under Ictidomys tridecemlineatus (thirteen-lined ground squirrel). RNAcentral describes it as "Spermophilus tridecemlineatus (thirteen-lined ground squirrel) tRNA". It matches the Rfam family "tRNA". Rfam says of the family: Transfer RNA (tRNA) molecules are approximately 80 nucleotides in length. Their secondary structure includes four short double-helical elements and three loops (D, anti-codon, and T loops). Further hydrogen bonds mediate the characteristic L-shaped molecular structure. tRNAs have two regions of fundamental functional importance: the anti-codon, which is responsible for specific mRNA codon recognition, and the 3' end, to which the tRNAs corresponding amino acid is attached (by aminoacyl-tRNA synthetases). tRNAs cope with the degeneracy of the genetic code in two manners: having more than one tRNA (with a specific anti-codon) for a particular amino acid; and 'wobble' base-pairing, i.e. permitting non-standard base-pairing at the 3rd anti-codon position. The record is from Rfam by way of RNAcentral. Lineage: Eukaryota; Metazoa; Chordata; Mammalia; Rodentia; Sciuridae.
UGGGAUGUGACUCAGUGGUAGUGUACUUACCUCACAUGCAUGAGGCCCUGAGUUCCAUUCCUAGUAUCACAA